GGGCCUUUGUCUCUUAUCCCCGCCUGUCCGCCAAACUCGGCUGUGUCUCCGUUGUUCUUUCUCCUCUGCUCCGGGAGGCUCAGUGAUUGCCACAGCCUCUGUCACCCUGCAGAAUCUGUGGUUGGUACCCAGAUGGGAAUUGUUCCAGUUUCCUGGUACUUGGAUGAAGAACAAGGAGGAGGUCUGAAGAUACAAACUGGAACUAUUGACAUUCAGGGAUGUGGCCUCAGAAUUCUCUCCAGAGGAGUGGAUAUACCAAGAUUCUACUCAGAGGACUUUGUGUAGGGAUGUGAUGUUAGAAAACUACAGAAACCUGAUUUCUCUGGGUCUUGCUGUUUCUAAGCCAGACCUGAUCAUCUGUCUGGAGUAGAGGAAAGAGCCCUGGAAUAUGAAGAGACACGAGAAAGUAGCCAAACCCCAGGUAUUGAGAGUCCUGGAACUGGGUUCAAAGCUGUGGUUCAAAUCCCAGAUGACACUUUGUGCAUGUUAACUUCAUAAAGAAGAGCUUGGAAGAGUGAAGCGUAAACAAUUAUCCUUUAUUAUUCUUCACCCCUAAAGUCUCUCCUGAAUUUGUACCCUGUGUGGCAAAGAGAGCCAAGCUCCCUAAGAGUUCAGUUCUUGCCCAAGAUUUGUUUUACUUUUGCUUGGUUGCCCCUUCUGUCUUUGUUUCAUUUAAAACAAUAAUAAAAAAAGAACAGGUGAAGUGGAGACCCCCAAGAAAAGGGUCCUACCAACUCCCUAGGACUGGCACUGUGGGCACAAGUAGGUUUUCAAGGCUCUAGGACAGAAUUAAGAACAACAUCCACACAAGUUUUUUGGACACUUGUUUUCCUUUGUUUUUUUUUUUUUUUU
This is a long non-coding RNA of Lemur catta (Ring-tailed lemur), 852 nucleotides long. RefSeq lists it as uncharacterized. The transcript is spliced from 5 exons. NCBI's taxonomy places the organism in Eukaryota, Metazoa, Chordata, Mammalia, Primates, Lemuridae. The record is from RefSeq and is a predicted model, not a curated record.